UAAAUAGAUUACAUUACUAUUGAUGAAACUUUAUAGUAAUUGACAGAUGAUAAACUGAGGUAAUUAUACUGUUUCAAAUAGCAAUAGAUGUAACUUUUAUAAAAUUUUAAUUGCCAAGGAGAUGCCAAAGGUAUUGUGCUCCAAGGAGAUUCUAAUAAAGGUAUUGUGCUCGGCACAAACUUGGUCAUUUUUCUCAGCCUCAUCAAAUUGUUGCAACUUAUAACGACUUCAACAAGGUACCUUAAUGUUGACAAUGAGUGCAUUUUAGGAAUAGGAAAUUGGGUUUUCAGCUUGCUAAGUCCGCAUGUUUUCAGUGUUAGAAUGGCAGAGAAGUUACAACUUGAACUUUUUAGCCCACUCUCAUGCAAUAAGUAACACUCAAAGACCAACCACUGUAGGUACCCUUUUCUUGAGGUUUUCACUGCCAAUGACGAUGGUAAGUUGUAGCACGAGACUUAGCAAUCACCUGAGUUGGUGGUGUAGAAGCAGUACCAGUAGGUUCUGGAUUGGAGCAGCAGUGACUACAUUAACUGGUUGUAACAUUAAAGGGACGUUGGCAAUCAGUUAUAACCUAUUAUAACUUAUAAUAGAAGUAGUAAUGUAACUGCAGUAGCAAAAAUACCAAUACUAGAGUCUGUUAACUUCAGCUUAAGAAAAGAAUUAAGCUUGUUGUACGUUAUUAUUUAUCAGAUAUAAAAAAAAAUUCAGAAGAUGGUACUUCUUUUACCAUCACAAUUUACCUUUCUUAUGCUUGUUUCUCUUGGAAUUUUAGUUUCUCCCAGUGAGAACUCUCUUGUUGAUCCUCUCCAUUUCUGUCUUUGUCAUUGUCGCAGAAACACUGUGUUCGCAGGGGCUCGUCCACGAGAAGUGGUAAGUACAUUUCCGUCAUUGUCAAAUUAUCUGAAAAAUUCAUUUGGAAAUUUCAAGUUAUGUAAAUCUUCUUUCUGCUUGAUGCCUUCUAAACCUCCAUUUAUAGGCUUUUUGGAUACUCAUUUUUUAACUCGGUCUUGCUGCUACUCCAGAUGUGGUUUUAUCUUAAUAAUUGAUGGUUGUGGGUCUUUUCUGCAUCUUUUCCGUAUGGUUGCUCCAUGGUUAGCUUUAUUAUCGUGAUUGUCAAUCUGUCUACCAGGUUCUGAAGGAUCGGGGGAUUGAUGGUGUUGCCGUUAACCUUUAUGACAGUCAACCUCCUUCUCGGUAUCAAUAUAAUUUCAGUUCUUUUUAAUGAGAGUUUCUAUGAAUUAAAGAUUUGUACAUGUUCACACAACUUCUUUUCUCAUCUUUAUUUGCAUUAUUUACUGCGUGAAGGAUCAAUCAAGAUGCUCCCAAGAUGGAUCCAGUGUCGGUGCAAGUUACUCCUGCCGGUUAUAGUGAGAAAGCUAAAAAAUUUCUUGGUGAUCAACGGGUAGCGAGGAGUUCUGAUAGGCGAGAUCAACGUAUGGACAUUGAAAGAACAGAUGCACGGAGGAGGAACAAAGGAAAUGAAAGUUGGAGGAAUUACAGAGAAAUUGUAAAACACGAUGACCUGCAGCCGCAGCAACAGGAGAGGGACCUGUCACCUGACACCUGGUGCAAGCCUGUCGAAAGUCCAAAACCCGACUCCACGCCUGCCCCUGAGCAGCGUCAUGGGAAAGUGACUUCCGCUCUUGAGCUUGUGCAGGCCUUCUCCAGACCAGUCUCUGAUCCGACUAUUGCUGAUUGUCUUUCUGGCCCCCAAGGCAUUCCGAGCCAGAGUCAGAUAUCUUUUUCUCGGUUAACAGGUUGAGGCCCGAAGCCUCAGAUUAAUGGUUACUGAAUUUUCGCUAUAGCAGAUACAUUUAAAACGAGAGAAACUUUCACCCCCUCCAAAUGUUCGUUUACACCUGAAUCCCGGUGGGUUAUUUUCCCUAGUUCAUAGUGAUCAUUGAGAAGGGAUCCGAUUGGUACUUGACGCAACGUUCGAGCCACAUACAAACAAGAAAAUAACAUACAUUUUUUCUUCAUGUUGACAAUAAUCACAUAACUGUUGUAUUUCAGGAAAUUUAUCUAUUGACAGAUUUCCUAUUGAAGUUCAUCUAGCCUAAUUUGGGAUUUAUGAGUUUGCGAGUGGAUUUAUUUUUCCAUUGAUCACAUUUGCCGCUGGGCUUUUAGUUUCCGGUGAUGCUUUUUCUUUCCAUUGCAGUAAUUAAUUAAUUUUUUGACAUGUAAUAGAUGUUUCAAAUUUGCUUGUUUAAGCUUAAACAAUAUACUAGUAAGUAAAUAAAUUAAUUUCAUAUAAAAUAAAUAUUUCUAAUAAUUAAUUUUGGCACAUUAAGCUUUAUCAAAUUUGGUCUGCUGCACAUUAUAGACAUCGCGGAUAUGAAUUAUUGGUCAUGUCCUUGCUCUCUGUAUAUCUGUUCUUAAUUUACAUUAUUAGGUUCCAUUUGAUUCCUAUUUUUUGGUCAAAAAAUGAAAAAUAUGAUCGUUAUUCAUCACACUACGUCAUCAUAUUUGACUUUUUACUUCUUAUGUGGAUUCCAUAACAAUUAUAUUUUUCAUGCUCAUUCUUAUUCUUAUAAGAAUGAGAAUCAAAUGGGACUUAAUAAAUUUAUUACAGUAAAGUAGUUGAUAAUUUAAGGAUGUGGGUCCUAUUUAUGGAGGUUUUAUUUAUUUAUUUAUUUUGAGGAAGUACUUUAAUAUUUAUUUACUCCUGUCAAUCUAUUAAACUUUCUUGACAACAUUGCAAUUUCAAGAAAAAAUUUAAUACAAAGAUGGUAAGUAAUGCAAUGAUAUUGCCUACAAGGCACAAGCAAUGUGACUUUCCCAAAAGCCUUUUGAGAAAGAGUAAAGGCUUCCAUGUAAGAAAUAGUUGAGAUCACUUGUAUUAAUCCUUUAAAACGACUCCUCGACUGCGCAAGGGACAUCGAUGACAGUUUGCAGCAGUCUCUUGCUUCUUCUCGCCUGCAGUUGCUGCUCUAAGCACUCUAUCAGUGCUUGGGAAAUCGGAAAGGGAAAUCCUUUUCAUGUUUCAUAUAGGCUCCUACUAUGCGGAAAUGGAGAAAUUUUGCAACUUCUGAUUUAAAUGGACACAGUUUCAAGUUCACAAUUACUUUUAAAAUCAUCGGAGAUUUGUAUUCUCUAUGUAUAAAUCUAUUUGAUCUAACCCUAUUUGGCUCAGAUUUUAAUAUGAGUUAAAAUCAAACAAACAAUGUUAAUUACAUUUUCAUGGGUUCCACAAUUUUUUGACCACACAUUUCGAAAAAUUUCUAUCAAAAUCUGUUAAAAAUCUAAUUUUAAUCCUCACCAAACAUCCUGCCAUGUUGUUUGAUGACACUUGAAAAAAAAGAAAAAAAGAAACAUGGUCAUCUUUCCAAUGGUUGAAAAAGUAGAGAAAAUGAUGUAAUGUGUUAAUGGUUAGUACAUAGUGCUGCAUUGACUAGAUUUAGUUCUUAACAUUUGAUGUAUUACAUAUUGAUGGAACUAUUCUCGAGUUGCAGUUAAAUCAGUAAUUGGAUCUCUAGAAAAUCACACAACUAGAGCAGACUAAGGUCAACCCAAUUUUAUCAUAACUGCUUUUUUCUACCUACCAACCGGAGUCCUUAAACUUCACAAAAUAUGCCAUUUCUGUCUUCAUUCAAUUCUAUUUCACACACACAUCUUCAAACUUUCAAUCUGUGCACACUAAUUGGAAACCUGCAACAAAUAGCCUACGUGACAAGUUGAUCCCAAUCAGUAAAAAGGUACAUUCUUUGUGUUGUAUUCGAGAAAACCGGCAUUAGUAGAUUUUGCAAAUUCCAUAAUCAGCUUGAAAAGUUCAAUAGAAAAGAAAAGAAAAACGCAGCUACCAGAAUAAAAAAACUAAUUUCAAAUAUAUGAAUUAUCAUAGAUACGUUAGUAAUACAUGUUUGUAGACAUACAUUUGUUCUACUACUACAUAAAGAAAGAAUCAGUUUAUUGCUUUAGAAGUCCUUCAUGAUUAGCUUAUCAAGAAGUUUAAACGCAGGCAAUAGCUUUCUCUCCCUGCAAACUACAUCAAUUAGUAGACUCCAUGUAUUUGGCUCUGGUUUAAACCCCAUAUCCAUCAAAAGGAACGACGUAACAGCAGCUUCAUUUGCCUUUCCGGCCUCACAAAGACGAACCAGUAACUCAUUUGAUGUAGCGAAAUGGGGCAGAAAACCCCUAUCCAGCAUCAGACGCAACAAAUUAUUCGCCUUCUCCAAUUCACCUUCCUUGCACAAGAAAUUUAACACAAUCCUGUAACUAGCCUUGUUAAGAUAAACACCAUCAUAUGGUAACCUCUCGAGCAUGUUGAGUGCCUCAUCAAAUCUACCUUCUCUGCACAAUCCCCCGAGUAUUACAUUAAACGUCACCUCAUCUGCUUUGCACUCAUUUUCUUUCAUCUCCUUGAGCAGAACAAUGGCUUCAUCAGUUCUAGCAGCUCUGCACAAGAAGUUAAUUAAAGUGGUAAAAAUAACAGUAUCAGGUUUCAGACCAGCACUUUUCAUCUCAUCAAAAGUUCCCUUGGCUUCCUCCAGUCUUCCCUCCUUACAGAACCCAUUCAUUAAUGCUGAGUAAUUGAUUACAUUAGGGUUGCAUCCAUUUUUCUUCAUGAAUUCCAUUAUCUUCCUAGCUCUGUCAGUUUUUCCUCCACGAGAAAACCCAUUGAUUAAAACACUGUAAGUUAAUGCAUCAGGCACAAUUUGAUGUUUUGUGAGCAUUUCCUCAAACAGAUCGAUUGCUUCUUUUAGUCUGCCGCUUCCACAAAGACCAUCCAUCAGAGUUGAAUAGGUGAUCAAGUUAGGAAAAGAUACCUUUGACUUUUCCAUCUCUUUUACCACUUCAAAUGCAGACGCUAGAUCUCCCCUUUUGCAGUGGUGUUUAACCAAAAUGUUAAAGAUGCAUGUAUUGGGUUCCAAAUGUUUUCAAAAAAAAAAAAAGUCCCCCCCCCCCCCCCCCCAUUCUGACUCAUUUUUGUUGGAUAAUAUUGAAAAGAUAAAGCACAUCGACACUGUAAUUGGACAGGGAAGGUAUGAUGUUUGCUGCCCCAUGAUGUCUGCCUGGGAUCUUCACAAAGCUUGGCCAGAGGUUGAUUUCAUAAUUGUUCCUGAUGCUAGGCAUUCUGCUAAUGAGCCGGGGACAUCAGAACAACUGGUUGCUGCAACCAAUAAAUUGAAACACAUCAUCAAGGAGAAGUAAAGCUAAAGUUUUCAGCCAUUAGUUUUUAUUUGAUCCUGUAUUGUGAACCUAAGGUAGUUUAUUUCCCAUUUGUUGGAUUUGAAGUUCAUGUGAAGAGUCGACAACUUGUUAGAGGGGCAUCCUUUCAGUUCUGUUUCGUGAAUUUGAUGACUAUACUUCAAGUAUAUGAACUUGGUGACAUAAUAAUAAUAAUGGGGAUGAAUAUAGCGAUUUUUUAAAAGAUUUUGAAAUUGUUUCAAGAAUGUAUUUAGAGUGAGAUGAAUAUAUAAAAUUUGUGUGGAUAUAUAUUGUUUAAAUGAAAUAAUUCAAUAAGGAAAAUAUUGGAAUGUAACGUGGAUGACAAUAGUAAUUUUUUAAAAUUUUAAUAUUUUUGUAGGGAAUAUAUAUAAUAAAAGAAACAAAUUAUUGUGUUAAAUUGCAAAUGGAUGAUAAGUAGUAAAGUGUAAAAUUCGAGUGUCCAUUUAUGAUCUGUGACAGUGGAGCUUUGUGUUAUUUUCCAAAAGGAAUGGGAUGUUUUUGUAUUUGUCAUAAACUAUGGGGGAGGAUUGUGCAGUUUUAUCAAGGCAUAGAAAGGGGGGGAAGGGAAAACGAAAAAACCUAUUGUACAGUUAGGGCAGACGAAUUCUGCAGAUUGCGUCCCCAAUCAAAGGUUUAAAACCCUUCUCUCCCAAAUGCCAAAUCACAGAUUCCUUUUCUCUGUUUAAGUUUCCGCAGACUGCAAUCAUUACUAUUAGAUAGAUUUUUAGAUAGUGAAAAUAGCGGAACUAUAAUUUAUUUAUUUAUUUAUUUAUACAGAUUUAUUCAAUAAAUUAUCAAAUUGGGGGAGAAGGGUUUUUUAUUUAAAAAUAUACCCCUGUGUAUAGAUUCAUAUAUAUUGAAUAAUUUAGUGAGAGACUGCGAGAAGCAAGGAGAGUGAAAAUGUCGAAGAAGAAAGCAACGAUGACUCUCAAAGACUUCCAUGGCGGUUCCAUUCCUUCCGAUCUUCGACUCCCCUCUGCACCUGGCCUGUGAGUUCUUUUUAUCUUUUUGACGCUUCCAUUUCAUUAUUGAUUAUACCGGAAGAAGUAUACAUGUCAAGUCUGUUUUUGUAAUGUGAUUUUGGGAAAAUGUCAGGUUUUUUUUUUUUUUUUUUGAGUUCAAUACUAUACUUAUUCAUUUGGUCUCAAUUCAAGAUCAUUUUUUUAAGUUGAAUUUUAUACCCAACAAAUUGUAGUGUCAUUUCCCAUUAAUUCCUUGAAUCCAGGUUUAUUUGUUUAUUUAAUUUGAGGAAAUGUUUAGUGGGCAUUUUAUUUAUUUUGUAAAUCAGAACAGUAAAAUACUGGAUUUAGUAUUUGAAAUUUUGAAUAUGGUUCAUAUUUUUGGACAGAAUGGCAAGACCUGCAGAUCGAGGUAGUUUUGAUCAGCAGUCGCCAUGGGGAAAUUCGAUGGGUAGGUCCAGUCAACGCUUGAGGCCGGCAUCAGCUGGGUCAGCUAGGAACUUUGAUGACAAGACCCCAUUUUUAAGUCACAGUGCCCACAUUGGCCGCAAUUUUGAUGAGGAUGAACGCAAGCCUUUGGAUGGGUUGUCAGGUUCUCGACGAACUGUCACUGAUGAGAGCAACCGUGCUCCGCCAAGUCGUGUGGUAGAACCUAAGAUAGAUAGUUUGGCUGGUGCUAGAGUUGGUAGUCAGCUGUCUUCAACCCCUCCCUCUCAUUUGUCUAGUGAUACAACUGUUAGUUCUUAUGCUGGAAAUGCUGGUAGGCAUAGUGAAGUUCAUAACAUAGGGUCGAAUAUUCAAAAUUUUAGGUCAGCUGUUGCUGGUUCCUAUUCAAAUCCAUGGGGUGUGAAGAAGGAGGUGGCACAUGUGAGUGACCCUGUAUCUGCUUCAUGGUCAGCUCCGGAUGUUGCAGUGAAGCUGUCACAUGCUAGUGCCAUUGAGAAGGUCUACUCUGGUCGGUGGCAUUCGCAACAUGUUCAUCCUCAAAAAGAUGUUGAGGCCAUUGGACAGUCGGAACCUGAGAGAGAAUUUCAUUGUCGGGGCAAAGACAUGUCCAACAGGAAUAUUUACAAUGGUACAAAUGUGUUAGGUGGAACUGACUAUCAUGAUAUUGCAUUGGCGAUGCAUAUGGAAAGGAGUCUGAUUGCUGGUGAUGGGAUUCACAAUGGUGGAAAGGAGACACUGUCUCAUGAUAGAGUCAGGAGUACCAUGUACACGGAGAUGCAUGGGAGGAAUCCUUCCGUUAAUGACAAGGAAUUUCAGCCACGUAGCACUACUGGAGUAUCUGGUGAUACUGAGUUACAGUCUCCAGGGACUUCAGAAACAUCAGAGCGACCCAAAUUGAAGUUACUUCCAAGAUCCAAACCGUUAGAGGAUUUAGAGCUUCCUCUCGAUUAUAAACAGGUAAAAGUUAGUGUUUUAACAUUCUGAUUUUUCUAUUGAACUGGAAAUCAAGUAUAAUUUAAUGUAUCUUUGCAAUUCGUCUUUCUGAGUGAAGGGACGCCAGCUGCCAAGUGAUCCGAUUCAUUUGAGGGUCGACAAUGAAUUACCCAGAACUGCAAUUCCUGUAGAACCUGGGUUUACUGGAUCAAUGGUCGUUAAUCAUGCGGUAGAGCGCCCAAAAUUGAGAUUAAAGCCUUGCUCACUACCUCUUGAACAAUUGGAGGGAAACACUGAAAUCAGAAGGUCCAUCAACUUUUACUAACUUGCUCACAGAAUUUUUUGUCGCUUAUUUCUUCUCGACCUGUUUGCAUUCUUAGUCUAUUUGAUUUUUUUUUAUUUUACUCGUGACAGGAUAAAUAGAUUACAUUACUAUUGAUGAAACUUUAUAGUAAUUGACAGAUGAUAAACUGAGGUAAUUAUACUGUUUCAAAUAGCAAUAGAUGUAACUUUUAUAAAAUUUUAAUUGCCAAGGAGAUGCCAAAGGUAUUGUGCUCCAAGGAGAUUCUAAUAAAGGUAUUGUGCUCGGCACAAACUUGGUCAUUUUUCUCAGCCUCAUCAAAUUGUUGCAACUUAUAACGACUUCAACAAGGUACCUUAAUGUUGACAAUGAGUGCAUUUUAGGAAUAGGAAAUUGGGUUUUCAGCUUGCUAAGUCCGCAUGUUUUCAGUGUUAGAAUGGCAGAGAAGUUACAACUUGAACUUUUUAGCCCACUCUCAUGCAAUAAGUAACACUCAAAGACCAACCACUGUAGGUACCCUUUUCUUGAGGUUUUCACUGCCAAUGACGAUGGUAAGUUGUAGCACGAGACUUAGCAAUCACCUGAGUUGGUGGUGUAGAAGCAGUACCAGUAGGUUCUGGAUUGGAGCAGCAGUGACUACAUUAACUGGUUGUAACAUUAAAGGGACGUUGGCAAUCAGUUAUAACCUAUUAUAACUUAUAAUAGAAGUAGUAAUGUAACUGCAGUAGCAAAAAUACCAAUACUAGAGUCUGUUAACUUCAGCUUAAGAAAAGAAUUAAGCUUGUUGUACGUUAUUAUUUAUCAGAUAUAAAAAAAAAUUCAGAAGAUGGUACUUCUUUUACCAUCACAAUUUACCUUUCUUAUGCUUGUUUCUCUUGGAAUUUUAGUUUCUCCCAGUGAGAACUCUCUUGUUGAUCCUCUC
RNAcentral lists this long non-coding RNA (8731 nucleotides) under Olea europaea (common olive). Its description in RNAcentral is "long non-coding RNA (OEUR_LNC007476)". Lineage: Eukaryota; Viridiplantae; Streptophyta; Magnoliopsida; Lamiales; Oleaceae. The record is from RNAcentral.